This 334-nucleotide ribosomal RNA is filed under the name uncultured eukaryote. RNAcentral's name for it is "partial 18S ribosomal RNA". It matches the Rfam family "Eukaryotic small subunit ribosomal RNA", at positions 1470 to 1796 of the family's 1831-position model. The record is from RNAcentral.
CCCUUAGAUGUCCGGGGCCGCACGCGCGCUACACUGAAGGAAUCAGCGUGGCUUUCUCCCUGACCCGAAAGGGUUGGGAAACCCGUUGAAUCUCCUUCGUGAUAGGGAUUGGGGCUUGAAAUUGUUCCCCAUGAACGAGGAAUUCCCAGUAAGCGCGAGUCAUAAGCUCGCGUUGAUUACGUCCCUGCCCUUUGUACACACCGCCCGUCGCUACUACCGAUUGAACGGUUUAGUGAGGGCCUCGGAUUGGUCUCGGCCCGCUCUUUACCGUGCGGCGCCGUUGGUCGAGAAGACGCUCGAACUUGAUCGUUUAGAGGAAGUAAAAGUCGUAACA